This 361-nucleotide ribosomal RNA is filed under the name uncultured bacterium. RNAcentral's name for it is "bacterial SSU rRNA". It matches the Rfam family "Bacterial small subunit ribosomal RNA", at positions 1036 to 1392 of the family's 1533-position model. The record is from RNAcentral.
AGGUGCUGCAUGGCUGUCGUCAGCUCGUGUCGUGCGAUGUUGGGUUAAGUCCCGCAACGAGCGCAACCCCUGUGAACUGUUGCCAUGGAGACGUGAGUCUCCGGCACUCUGUUCAGACUGCCCUGUUCAACGGGGAGGAAGGUGGGGACGACGUCAAGUCAGUAUGGCCCUUACGGCCAGGGCUGCACACGUACUACAAUGCCCGAAACAGAAGGAUCCGAGACCGCGAGGUGGAGGAAAUCACUAAAUUCGGGCCCAGUUCGGAUUGGAGGCUGCAACUCGCCUCCAUGAAGCCGGAAUCGCUAGUAAUGGCGCAUCAGCUACGGCGCCGUGAAUACGUUCCCGGGUCUUGUACACACCG